UCCUUGGUGGCUCAGCGGUUAAAGCGUCUGCCUGCAAUGCAGGAGACCUGGGUUCAAUCCCUGGGCCAGGAA
Non-coding RNA from Bos taurus (domestic cattle), 72 nucleotides. Lineage: Eukaryota; Metazoa; Chordata; Mammalia; Artiodactyla; Bovidae. The record is from Rfam.